Molecule: long non-coding RNA, 232 nt
Filed under: Phoenix dactylifera (date palm)
Lineage: Eukaryota; Viridiplantae; Streptophyta; Magnoliopsida; Arecales; Arecaceae
Description: long non-coding RNA (PDAC_LNC008198)
Source: RNAcentral
GAAGAAGAAGAAGGUUUUAGAUUUUCAUUUGACACAUUUCUAUCCUCUUCUUUACCUUCCUUAUUGUUACCCUCCCCAAUCUUAUUGUCUACUACACGUCCACUCCUUAGGGUAGUCAAAGCAUUGGCUUGUUCAUGAUGAAUUGUAUUUAGUUGAUUUUCUUGAGCCAUGUAUUGUCCCCUAGGAUUACUCACUGGUUGGCUUGGAAGCUUUCCUUCCUCUCGCUUGUUUN